This 253-nucleotide ribosomal RNA is filed under the name uncultured bacterium. RNAcentral describes it as "partial 16S ribosomal RNA". It matches the Rfam family "Bacterial small subunit ribosomal RNA", at positions 524 to 776 of the family's 1533-position model. The record is from RNAcentral.
GACAGAGGCCUCGAGCGUUAGGCGGAAUCACUGGGCUUAAAGCGUGUGUAGGCGGAUCGUUAAGUACCUUGUGAAAUCCCACGGCUCAACCGUGGAACGGCUGGGUAUACUGGCGGUCUUGGGCCAUUCAGGGGCGACUGGAACAAGCGGUGGAGCGGUGAAAUGCGUAGAUAUCGCUUGGAACGCCGAAGGUGAAAACAGGUCGCUGGGGAUGUGCCGACGCUGAGACACGAAAGCCAGGGGAGCGAACGGG